ACCGCUGGCCGGACCCCCAAGCUAGCCCGCCAGGCCUCCAUAGAGCUGCCCAGCAUGGCUGUGGCCAGUACCAAGAGUCGGUGGGAGACGGGUGAGGUACAGGCUCAGUCUGCGGCCAAGACUCCGUCCUGCAAGGAUAUUGUGGCUGGAGACAUGAGCAAGAAAAGCCUCUGGGAGCAGAAGGGAGGCUCCAAGACCUCAUCAACAAUUAAGGUAGAGCCUAAAUGUGGUUGGUGCAGGCAGG
This 244-nucleotide small RNA is filed under the name Pan troglodytes (chimpanzee). RNAcentral's name for it is "retained intron". The record is from RNAcentral. Lineage: Eukaryota; Metazoa; Chordata; Mammalia; Primates; Hominidae. RNAcentral also lists the same sequence under 1 other name.